Ostrinia furnacalis (Asian corn borer) is the source of this 468-nucleotide long non-coding RNA. RefSeq lists it as uncharacterized. The transcript has 2 exons. Lineage: Eukaryota; Metazoa; Arthropoda; Insecta; Lepidoptera; Crambidae. The record is from RefSeq and is a predicted model, not a curated record.
AAUAAAAUAAAUAAAAUAAUAAACCUACAAGCAAACCCGCGCGAAACAAGUUGUUCAAUAUUUCUUUUGUUCUCUGUCGAGCGGGCGGACUGUUUUUUAUGCAUGCGCAAGCGACGCGCCUACGGCCGCGAUGCUCCCGCCGCGUCUCCUAGUCCGAGCCAGAGCGUUAGUGAGCACGGACGUAUCGCUGUCCGUCACCGCCGGACCCGCGAUGUACGUAACUUUAUAAAAACUAAAUAUGUAAUCGCGUAUUGGUGAACCCCGCUACCGGGGUUCAUCUUCACCUUCAUCUUCUACGCCUAGCUACUACACCAUGCAUGGUCACCACUGCCGAAACUACCACCUGGGUCUUCAACCCGGCAGAGCUGCCUGCCGUGUCGGACGGCCCGUGCGCACAUUCUAAGUGGCCCUACACCACAGUGCGUACGGCCCUAACCGUCUGGCGCGUCGACGACUCUGCGGGCCUAC